RNAcentral lists this ribosomal RNA (475 nucleotides) under uncultured soil bacterium. RNAcentral describes it as "bacterial SSU rRNA". It matches the Rfam family "Bacterial small subunit ribosomal RNA", at positions 26 to 518 of the family's 1533-position model. The record is from RNAcentral.
AGGACGAACGCUGGCGGCGUGCUUAACACAUGCAAGUCGAGCGGUAAGGCCUUUCGGGGUACACGAGCGGCGAACGGGUGAGUAACACGUGGGUGAUCUGCCCUGCACUCUGGGAUAAGCCUGGGAAACUGGGUCUAAUACCGGAUAUGACCUGCUCUCGCAUGGGGGUGGGUGGAAAGAUUUAUCGGUGCAGGAUGGGCCCGCGGCCUAUCAGCUUGUUGGUGGGGUAAUGGCCUACCAAGGCGACGACGGGUAGCCGACCUGAGAGGGUGACCGGCCACACUGGGACUGAGACACGGCCCAGACUCCUACGGGAGGCAGCAGUGGGAAUAUGCACAAUGGGCGAAAGCCUGAUGCAGCGACGCCGCGUGAGGAUGAAGGCCGUUCGGGUUGUAAACCUCUUUCAGCGAGGACGAAGCGCAAGUGACGGUACCUGCGAGAAGAAGCGAACCGGCUAACACGUGCCAGCAGCCGC